Molecule: ribosomal RNA, 1179 nt
Filed under: Triticum aestivum (bread wheat)
Lineage: Eukaryota; Viridiplantae; Streptophyta; Magnoliopsida; Poales; Poaceae
Description: partial small subunit ribosomal RNA
Source: RNAcentral
AUGGUGGCCGUUGCUGUGCUUGUGCCUUGGCUAGCAUGGCUCAUUGUCUCUUUCCUUUCCCUCUACCUCCUCAGCCUCCUCGCGCACGCGCGCUCCGGCCUCCCUCCGGGCCCCAGCCCACUGCCGCUCAUCGGCAGCAUCCACCUUCUCGGCGACAAGCCGCACCGCUCUCUUGCUCGCCUAGCCAAAAUCCACAGCCCGCUCAUGUCCAUCCGCCUCGGCACGGUCACCACGGUCGUCAUCUCCUCCCCCGCCAUGGCCCGGGAGUUCCUGCAGAGGCACGGCUGUUUGCACGGCCUCACGCCACCGGCAAGCACGCGGUUGGCUCCGUCCUGGCUGCCCCCCGUGCAGCGGUGGCGCGCGCUCCGCAAGAUAAUGGCCACGGAGCUGUUCGCGCCGCAGCGGCUCGACGCGCUCCACCACCUCCGGAGCGACAAGGUGAGGGAGCUCACGGACCACGUCGCGCGGCUGGCGCGCGAUGGCACGGCGGUGAACAUCGGCCGCGUGGCCUUCACGACGAGCCUGAACCUUGUCUCCCGCACCAUCUUCUCCAUUGACCUCACGAGCCUCGACGACCACGGCCGCUCCAAGGAGUUCCAGGAGGUGAUCACGGGCAUCAUGGAAGGCUUGGGGGCCCCCAACGUGUCGGACUUCUUCCCGGUGCUGGAGCCGGCCGACCUGCAGGGCAUGCGCUGCCGGCUGGCGCGGCUGUUUGCACGGCUGGACGCCGUCUUCGACGCCGAGGUGGACCAGAGGCUGCGCGACCGCGACGCUUGCCAGCCCAGGAAGAACGACUACCUCGACGUGCUGCUCGACGUGGCGGCGAGUGAGGAUGGGAAGGACCUGCUCGACCGCGAGACGCUACGCUCACAUUUCACGGAAUUGUUUGCUGCUGGUAGUGAUACCAACUCUAGCACAGUGGAAUGGGCAAUGGCUGAGCUUCUUCAAAACCAAUCAUCAAUGGCUAAGGUUUGCGACGAGCUUGCACAAGUUAUCGGUGCAAUAAUAAACAUUGAAGAAGCUGACAUUGCUCGGUUGCCCUAUCUUCAAGCUGUCAUAAAAGAGACUCUUCGACUCCACCCUCCCACUCCACUAUUGUUGCCACGCCAACCAAAAGCGAUGGUCAAAAUAGAAGGUUACACAAUAACCAUGGGUUCACACUUGUUCAUAAACGUAUAG